UACAGAGGUCUCAAGCGUUGUUCGGAUUCAUUGGGCGUAAAGGGUGUGUAGGUGGCGCCGUAAGUCGAGUGUGAAAUCUCGGGGCUUAACUCCGAAACUGCAUUCGAUACUGCGGUGCUUGAGGACUGGAGAUGAGACUGGAAUUCAUGGUGUAGCAGUGAAAUGCGUAGAGAUCAUGAGGAAGACCAGUGGCGAAGGCGGGUCUCUGGACAGUUCCUGACACUGAGACACGAAGGCCAGGGGAGCAAACGGG
Molecule: ribosomal RNA, 253 nt
Filed under: uncultured bacterium
Lineage: Bacteria
Description: partial 16S ribosomal RNA
Rfam family: Bacterial small subunit ribosomal RNA
Source: RNAcentral